AUUGAACGCUGGCGGCAUGCCUUACACAUGCAAGUCGAACGGCAGCGGGGGAGAAGCUUGCUUUUCCUGCCGGCGAGUGGCGAACGGGUGAGUAAUACAUCGGAACGUGCCCUGUAGUGGGGGAUAACUAGUCGAAAGAUUAGCUAAUACCGCAUACGACCUGAGGGUGAAAGUGGGGGACCGCAAGGCCUCAUGCUAUAGGAGCGGCCGAUGUCUGAUUAGCUAGUUGGUGGGGUAAAGGCCUACCAAGGCGACGAUCAGUCACUGGUCUGAGAGGCCGAUCAGCCACACUGGGACUGAGACACGGCCCAGACUCCUACGGGAGGCAGCAGUGGGGAAUUUUGGACAAUGGGCGAAAGCCUGAUCCAGCAAUGCCGCGUGUGUGAAGAAGGCCUUCGGGUUGUAAAGCACUUUUGCCCGGAAAGAAAUGGCUCUGGUUAAUACCUGGGGUCGAUGACGGUACCGGAAGAAUAAGCACCGGCUAACUACGUGCCAGCCGCCGCCGUAA
This 508-nucleotide ribosomal RNA is filed under the name uncultured bacterium. Its description in RNAcentral is "partial 16S ribosomal RNA". It matches the Rfam family "Bacterial small subunit ribosomal RNA", at positions 30 to 523 of the family's 1533-position model. The record is from RNAcentral.